GUGAUGUUGUUGGUAGAUCUGUGGUAUUGUUUACACAAAAUAUGUCUAGGCUAAAUUAUAGCUGGACAUGGUAAAGUCACUUGCUUUUUGUUGAAACCAAUUAUUGACAUUUAUAUUAUUUUGUUGUUAGGUUUCUCUCUAUGAAUUACUGAAGACAAUAUGAAAAACUCCAAAUGGUUUUAUGUAUAAAAAAGAAGAUGUGGUAUGAUUGCCAAUGAGACAACUAUCCACAAAAGACCAAAAUGACACAGACAUUAACAACUAUAGGUCACCAUACGGCCUUCAACAAUGAGCAAAGCCCAUACCGCAUAGUGAGCUAUAAAAGGCCCCGAUAAGACAAUGUAAAACAAUUCAAACGAGAAAACUAACGGCCUUAUUUAUGUAAAAAAAUGAACGAAAAACAAAUAUGUAACACAUAAACAAACGACCCACACUGAAUUACAGGCUCCUGACUUGGGACAGGCACAUACAUAAUUAAUGUGGCGGGGUUAAA
This 493-nucleotide long non-coding RNA is filed under the name Mytilus galloprovincialis (Mediterranean mussel). Lineage: Eukaryota; Metazoa; Mollusca; Bivalvia; Mytilida; Mytilidae. The record is from RNAcentral.